AGUCGAACGGUAACAGGAAACAGCUUGCUGUUUCGCUGACGAGUGGCGGACGGGUGAGUAAUGUCUGGGAAACUGCCUGAUGGAGGGGGAUAACUACUGGAAACGGUAGCUAAUACCGCAUAACGUCGCAAGACCAAAGAGGGGGACCUUCGGGCCUCUUGCCAUCAGAUGUGCCCAGAUGGGAUUAGCUAGUAGGUGGGGUAACGGCUCACCUAGGCGACGAUCCCUAGCUGGUCUGAGAGGAUGACCAGCCACACUGGAACUGAGACACGGUCCAGACUCCUACGGGAGGCAGCAGUGGGGAAUAUUGCACAAUGGGCGCAAGCCUGAUGCAGCCAUGCCGCGUGUAUGAAGAAGGCCUUCGGGUUGUAAAGUACUUUCAGCGGGGAGGAAGGGAGUAAAGUUAAUACCUUUGCUCAUUGACGUUACCCGCAGAAGAAGCACCGGCUAACUCCGUGCCAGCAGCCGCGGUAAUACGGAGGGUGCAAGCGUUAAUCGGAAUUACUGGGCGUAAAGCGCACGCAGGCGGUUUGUUAAGUCAGAUGUGAAAUCCCCGGGCUCAACCUGGGAACUGCAUCUGAUACUGGCAAGCUUGAGUCUCGUAGAGGGGGGUAGAAUUCCAGGUGUAGCGGUGAAAUGCGUAGAGAUCUGGAGGAAUACCGGUGGCGAAGGCGGCCCCCUGGACGAAGACUGACGCUCAGGUGCGAAAGCGUGGGG
RNAcentral lists this ribosomal RNA (717 nucleotides) under uncultured bacterium. RNAcentral describes it as "bacterial SSU rRNA". It matches the Rfam family "Bacterial small subunit ribosomal RNA", at positions 60 to 766 of the family's 1533-position model. The record is from RNAcentral.